CUACUCUUGACAUCCUGCGAACUUGGUAGAGAUACCUUGGUGCCUUCGGGAACGCAGAGACAGGUGCUGCAUGGCUGUCGUCAGCUCGUGUUGUGAAAUGUUGGGUUAAGUCCCGUAACGAGCGCAACCCUUGUCCUUAGUUGCCAUCAUUUAGUUGGGGACUCUAAGGAGACUGCCGGUGACAAACCGGAGGAAGGCGGGGACGACGUCAAGUCAUCAUGGCCCUUACGAGUAGGGCUACACACGUGCUACAAUGGCAAGUACAGAGGGCCGCAAAGCCGCGAGGUGGAGCUAAUCUCACAAAGCUUGUCGUAGUCCGGAUUGGAGUCUGCAACUCGACUCCAUGAAGUCGGAAUCGCUAGUAAUCGUGAAUCAGAAUGUCACGGUGAAUACGUUCCC
RNAcentral lists this ribosomal RNA (399 nucleotides) under uncultured bacterium. RNAcentral describes it as "bacterial SSU rRNA". It matches the Rfam family "Bacterial small subunit ribosomal RNA", at positions 975 to 1375 of the family's 1533-position model. The record is from RNAcentral.